Molecule: transfer RNA, 83 nt
Organism: Rhodotorula sp. JG-1b
Lineage: Eukaryota; Fungi; Basidiomycota; Microbotryomycetes; Sporidiobolales; Sporidiobolaceae
Rfam family: tRNA
About the family: Transfer RNA (tRNA) molecules are approximately 80 nucleotides in length. Their secondary structure includes four short double-helical elements and three loops (D, anti-codon, and T loops).
Source: Rfam
GGCCGCAUGGUGUAGUGGUUUAGCACUUUGGUCUUCGACUUGCAGGAAACCAAGGGUCGUGGGUUCGACCCCCACUGUGGUCG